CCUACGGGAGGCAGCAGUGGGGGAUAUUGCACAAUGGGGGAAACCCUGAUGCAGCGACGCCGCGUGUGGGAAGACGGUCCUCUGGAUUGUAAACCACUGUCCCCAGGGACGAAGAUGACGGUACCUGGGGAGGAAGCUCCGGCUAACUACGUGCCAGCAGCCGCGGUACUACGUAGGGAGCGAGCGUUGUCCGGAAUUACUGGGUGUAAAGGGAGCGUAGGCGGGACUGCAAGUUGGGUGUCAAAUCUACCGGCUCAACCGGUAGCCGCACUCAAAACUGCAGUUCUUGAGUGAAGUAGAGGCAGGCGGAAUUCCUAGUGUAGCGGUGAAAUGCGUAGAUAUUAGGAGGAACACCAGUGGCGAAGGCGGCCUGCUGGGCUUUUACUGACGCUGAGGCUCGAAAGUGUGGGGAGCAAACAGGAUUAGAUACCCUAGUAGUC
This 440-nucleotide ribosomal RNA is filed under the name uncultured bacterium. RNAcentral's name for it is "partial 16S ribosomal RNA". It matches the Rfam family "Bacterial small subunit ribosomal RNA", at positions 338 to 795 of the family's 1533-position model. The record is from RNAcentral.